RNAcentral lists this small nuclear RNA (102 nucleotides) under Nannospalax galili (Upper Galilee mountains blind mole rat). The record is from RNAcentral. Lineage: Eukaryota; Metazoa; Chordata; Mammalia; Rodentia; Spalacidae.
GUCUUCGCUUCAGAAGCAUGUAAACUAAAAUGGGAACAGUACAGAGAUUAUUAACAUGGAUCCUGCACAAGGAUGAGAAUUCGUGAAAUAGUCCAUAUUUUU